RNAcentral lists this ribosomal RNA (623 nucleotides) under Clitocybe sp. ubc f16565. RNAcentral's name for it is "eukaryotic LSU rRNA". It matches the Rfam family "Eukaryotic large subunit ribosomal RNA", at positions 1 to 619 of the family's 3401-position model. The record is from RNAcentral. Lineage: Eukaryota; Fungi; Basidiomycota; Agaricomycetes; Agaricales; Clitocybaceae.
UUGACCUCAAAUCAGGUAGGACUACCCGCUGAACUUAAGCAUAUCAAUAAGCGGAGGAAAAGAAACUAACAAGGAUUCCCCUAGUAACUGCGAGUGAAGCGGGAAAAGCUCAAAUUUAAAAUCUGGCGGUCCUUGUGGCUGUCCGAGUUGUAAUCUAGAGAAGUGCUAUCCGCGCUGGACCGUGUACAAGUCUCCUGGAACGGAGCGUCAUAGAGGGUGAGAAUCCCGUCUUUGACACGGACUACCAGGGCUUUGUGAUGUGCUCUCAAAGAGUCGAGUUGUUUGGGAAUGCAGCUCUAAAUGGGUGGUAAAUUCCAUCUAAAGCUAAAUAUUGGCGAGAGACCGAUAGCGAACAAGUACCGUGAGGGAAAGAUGAAAAGAACUUUGGAAAGAGAGUUAAACAGUACGUGAAAUUGUUGAAAGGGAAACGCUUGAAGUCAGUCGCGUUGGCCGGGGAUCAACCUUGCUCUUUUGCUUGGCGUACUUUCCGGUCGACGGGUCAGCAUCAAUUUUGACCGGUGGAUAAAGGUCAGGGGAAUGUGGCAUCUUCGGAUGUGUUAUAGCCCUUGGUCGCAUACAUCGAUUGGGAUUGAGGAACUCAGCACGCCGCAAGGCCGGGUCUU